RNAcentral lists this non-coding RNA (251 nucleotides) under Hominimerdicola alba. RNAcentral describes it as "Ruminococcus albus T-box sequence". It matches the Rfam family "T-box leader". From Rfam's summary of the family: Uncharged tRNA acts as the effector for transcription antitermination of genes in the T-box leader family. Lineage: Bacteria; Bacillati; Bacillota; Clostridia; Eubacteriales; Oscillospiraceae. The record is from RNAcentral.
UGAAACGCUAUGACCGGGAGAAGUAACUCUGGUAUUCACUCACAGAGAGCGCGGGAGAGGUGUGAGCCGCGCAGCAGAGCCUUUGUGAAUAACACCCGUGAGCGGCAGACCCAACGGCAUUCUGCCAAGUAGGAAAGACGUGUUCCUCACGUUAUGAGGAUAAGAGUGACAACGCUCGGAUACUUUUUUUAAGCUUUUGAGCGCUUGUAAAUUCAGGUGGUACCGCGAAGUCUAUGGCUUUCGUCCUGUUA